RNAcentral lists this long non-coding RNA (285 nucleotides) under Gossypium raimondii (Peruvian cotton). RNAcentral's name for it is "long non-coding RNA (GRAI_LNC010716)". Lineage: Eukaryota; Viridiplantae; Streptophyta; Magnoliopsida; Malvales; Malvaceae. The record is from RNAcentral.
CCAUAACUACACCAAAAUAUAAACUUAUUCAUGAAUAACUUUAUUGUUUAGGCAAUUUCCAGCAAGCUGUUUUUCUGCGUCAUAGUCGCUAAUUUAUUUUUAUCUGGAGCUACAGGGAUCCAAAUUGAGUUCCGUAAAUUUUCCCUGAAACUAUACUCAUAUACCAUUUCACCAUAAAAAUUUCAGAAUUUUUAACCCAGCAAAUUAGUACAGUUUAUUCAUUAAACCUUCCCCUGUUUCACUACCCAACGGUUCUGACCCUUACUCACUAAAAUUCACUUAACU